This 450-nucleotide ribosomal RNA is filed under the name uncultured bacterium. Its description in RNAcentral is "partial 16S ribosomal RNA". It matches the Rfam family "Bacterial small subunit ribosomal RNA", at positions 354 to 796 of the family's 1533-position model. The record is from RNAcentral.
GUGGGGAAUCUUCCACAAUGGACGAAAGUCUGAUGGAGCAACGCCGCGUGAGUGAAGAAGGGUUUCGGCUCGUAAAGCUCUGUUGUCGGGGACGAAUGUGCAGUAUUUGAAUAAAGUACUGCAAUGACGGUACCUGACGAGGAAGCCACGGCUAACUACGUGCCAGCAGCCGCGGUAAUACGUAGGUGGCAAGCGUUGUCCGGAAUUAUUGGGCGUAAAGGGAGCGCAGGCGGGAAGGUAAGUCGGUCUUAAAAGUGCGGGGCUCAACCCCGUGAUGGGAUCGAAACUAUCUUUCUGGAGUGCAGGAGAGGAAAGUGGAAUUCCUAGUGUAGCGGUGAAAUGCGUAGAUAUUAGGAGGAACACCAGUGGCUAAGGCGACUUUCUGGACUGUAACUGACGCUGAGGCUCGAAAGCCAGGGGAGCGAACGGGAUUAGAUACCCGAGUAGUCC